GCCCCCGUAGCUCAGCCUGGAUAGAGCACCGGCCUCCGGAGUCGGGUGCGUGGGUUCGAAUCCCGCCGGGGGUACCA
Molecule: transfer RNA, 77 nt
Filed under: Dehalococcoidia bacterium
Lineage: Bacteria; Bacillati; Chloroflexota; Dehalococcoidia
Description: tRNA-Arg
Rfam family: tRNA
About the family: Transfer RNA (tRNA) molecules are approximately 80 nucleotides in length. Their secondary structure includes four short double-helical elements and three loops (D, anti-codon, and T loops). Further hydrogen bonds mediate the characteristic L-shaped molecular structure. tRNAs have two regions of fundamental functional importance: the anti-codon, which is responsible for specific mRNA codon recognition, and the 3' end, to which the tRNAs corresponding amino acid is attached (by aminoacyl-tRNA synthetases). tRNAs cope with the degeneracy of the genetic code in two manners: having more than one tRNA (with a specific anti-codon) for a particular amino acid; and 'wobble' base-pairing, i.e. permitting non-standard base-pairing at the 3rd anti-codon position.
Source: RNAcentral